Molecule: RNA transcript, 5337 nt
Organism: Hemibagrus wyckioides
Lineage: Eukaryota; Metazoa; Chordata; Actinopteri; Siluriformes; Bagridae
Gene: synpo2b
Gene name: synaptopodin 2b
Exons: 4
Source: RefSeq, a predicted model, not a curated record
AGGAGGAGCCUGCAGACCAGAACACUAUCCUGAUCCUCCAUAACAUCGCUCUCGUUCAUCAAACCAUCUCAGAGAACCAGAGAAGUCUGGUUACCUCAUAUAAUCCAAAUCCUUACUCUGGCCCAGGAAACAAUCUGAUUAGGAAUGUGUGGAAGGCGGUGAAGGAGGAGGAGAAGAUGGAAGAAAAGGAGGAGGGAGAGAGGCAGCACCACCCGUGUCAUGUAUCUUGAGUGGAAUUCAAACCCAGGGUGCUGAGCAGGCAGGGCAGGGGCUCGGCUUCACUUGCUGAACUUCACAGAGCCAUCAGACCACAGACGAGACCAACAGCAGCAUGCUUAAGACUGAGCAGAAAUACACCUGAAGAAAGCUGAACCUGAACGUACACACAUUGCUCGGUUCUUGGCUGCUGCAAGAAACCUUAAGGAGAAGGAGGUGGUGAAUUUCAAGCACUGCCAACAAAUGUUUAUAAAAGGUAAAGAAGAACCACAGAAAGGAGUUUUGAUAACAGAUCAAGAAGAAAAAUCAGUCAAUACAAUCUAACUGGGAAAAAAAUAUGGAGCACCUUCCACAGACAAAAGGCAAAGGGGUCCUGAUGUUUGCAAGACGGCGUCAAAGGAUUGAUGAAAUCGCUGCAGAACAUGAGGACCUCAGGAGUAAAGGCAUACCUGUGGAAGCAUUUGUGGAACCUGAGAUUGACCCGUCCUCAAAGCCUCAGGUGAACAUUCCACCUCUCCAACAAAAUGAACAAGUCAAGCAUCAACUAACGUAUCAGGAUCAUCAAACACAACAGCAGAUCUUUCUCCAGCCUGACACUGGUAUUAAUGGUCUGGAUUCCUGUCAAGAUUCUUCAACAUCCAAACCACUCGUGUCCAAUAGAACAGCUAAGCCUUUUCUGAGCGGUCUGAAUCAAUCCCCAGCACAAUUUUAUCCUGUCAGAAAUGUCCCAAGCCCAACAAUAAAGAUAUCUGAAAAUGUGUUCAAAGUUCCAGUUCCAGUAAACACAAGCCCACAGGUGUGGUCACCCACAGGAGAUAUAAUCGCUUCUCGUGAUGAACGGAUUGCUGUACCGGCUAUCAAGAGUGUAAUUCUGCCUGAAAUGAAAAAAAGAGGAAAAAAUAAAACCAACCCUAAUGAACCCCCAGAGGAAGAUUACUUUAGUCUUGGUGCAGAGGCUUGCAAUUUCAUGCAAGCUCCAACCCUCAGACAGAAACAACCUCCACCAGUUCUUCCCAAGCCUACAAUCAACCCACAUUGUCCCCCAUGGUCUCCAGAAGAUAAUGCCGCUCACAGUCCCCUUACACCAUCAAGUCCUCUUCCUGUACAACAGACCUGGUCUCCACCUCAUCCACCUCAAUCUCAGCCAGCUACCAAACCCUGGGCUCCUUCACCAGCUCGGCUCACACCACAGCAGCAUGUGUCUGACUAUUUACCAACCAAACCAUCAGCUUCGUAUAAACCUACCUGGUCAUCAGAACCACAACAGCCCCUCACUUCAGCAUCUCCCUCACAGCCAAGGUUCCCAAGGGCUAAACCCCAAAGUACCAGUUCUGUGGUUUCCUGCCCACCCCAACAAGGAAGAUCAUAUUUCCGUCCGUCCAAAGCUCCACCAAUUUCUUCAAUCUCAGAAAUAGGGUCCUCUGAUGGCCAAGUGCUUAAGGGCAAGGGUGCACAACUUUUUGCUAGACGACAGUCCCGUAUGGAGAAGUUUAUAAUAGAUGCUGAAACUGUCCAGGCCAACAUAGGCAGGUCCCCCUCACCCACGCUGUCCAUGCCAAGCACCUGGAAAUAUUCUUCCAAUGUCCGAGCCCCUCCUCCUGUCUCCUAUAACCCCAUAGUGUCACCUUUCUAUCCUCCGGCAGCACAGAAGCAAUCUCUUCCUGCAGCAAGCUCAAAUGUGAAGCCCAAAGGAAACAUGGAAAAACCAAAGACCGCGGCAAAAACUCUGAGUGUUAUGGAUGUGAUGAAGCAUCAGCCGUAUCAGCUGGACUCAUCCCUCUUCACCUACAGCUCCAACAAUGAAGCCAAGGGUUCGAGCCCCAAAACAUCUCCUGCUCCUCCUGCAGAGUUAAAGCAAACCCAGGGCUAUCUGCAAGCCUCGUCCCCAGUCCCUUUUUUGGGAAGUGGCCAGUCUUUUCAGCAAGGUGCCAAACCCAGUGGACCGGUGAGUGUUCCUUAUCCCUUCACUCGUCAGUCCACUUCAGCUGAAGCUUGUCCUGCUGCACAGCCUACAGCACCAGCACCAUGCACCAUGUAUCCUGGCCCAAUAAACAAAGCCUCCAGGAGCAAAUCAACUCCUCCCACUAGGACUGGGAGCAAUGCUUUUCUGUCCACUUCCUCUUUCCCUCUAAAUAGUGAAAUUACUUCUAGAUGUAGCGUGCUAUUGGCUCCAAAGCCUAAGUUUUCUGCGAAAAAGCCAGCUGUUGUUGGAAAGCAGUGGAAACCAGUCGUAAUGUUGCACUAAAAGCAGAGUUUACAUUGAAAAAGCACAAGUGGGAAGCUACUGAAAAUAACGGCAAAGAGUCGAGAUUAUUUUAAGAUACUAAAUAUAGUUAGUUAGUUAGUUAUGUUAAAGAUAGUUAGAUAGCUAUGUAGCGUACUUCGUCUCACGCCACAGAGAAAUCCCACAACACUAUCUGCAGUUUAUUAAAGACAGGAUAAGGAUUAAUACAAAUCACAACACACCCUCAGUUCUGUAGAGUCUGCCUCAUCAUGUCCAAGCUGUUCUGAGUAUUUAUUAGAAAUACUCUUUUACUUUACAGUUUCACAUUUCACUCAUUUCCAUCAAACCAUGCCUCACAUUACACUGUACCACAUUACACACACAUUCUUAAACACAUUCAAUAAAAUUCACAUAGGUUCAAUAUACUAACAUGUUACAUACAUCAUACUUUGAAACCUCUUUACAGAAUUACAUUUCAGUCUAAACUCUAUAAAUCAGUCUAAGCAUAUGAUUGUCAUAUAGUGGUAAUAUUAUUGCUGAGAUUCGAUGUACCUGCAGUUUAUACCUGCACACCCUCAGUCCUGUAGUCUCUGUGAGGAGUGUGAAGAGAGAGGAAAGUAAACCCCUGACCCCAUUAACACUGCACCUGUAUCUGAUCAUCUAAUUCAAAUAUACACACAGCAUUUCAGACAUAACAGGGAAAUAUACUUCAACAAAAUAAACUGCAUGAUGUUUUUGAAACUCCACCAUUUUGUGCAUUUUUACUAAGCAAUAUGAAAUAAACCUGAAGUUUUAAAAUGGCAUGCAGAGCGGAAACUUCAGCCCAACUUACACAGCUCGUUAACACUAAACUCCAAAUAUACACAGCAACAAUUAGCUAGCAAAAAUUGAGCACAGUAUGUGAGUCAAUCGAACAUAAAAACAUGCCAUCCGAGGAUACUGACCAAAAUCUUAACUUAAUCUGCUAGAUUUUAGCACUUUACUACAGAGUCCAUUCGCAACAUUCCCGCCUCGCUCAUGACCGAAGCUGUUGUGAGCGAUGGUGGGGAAACAAUUAGGCAAUUACACAGGCGGAAAUGACAUCACUCACACAUAAACCUCAAUGUAUUACUUUAAAACAAAAAUGCAAUUACCCACGAUAUUGUGACAUGAAUAGCAAUAUACACAAAGAAACAAAAAUAAGAUGAAAAUAAGUAUAAUCAAUUCCUAUGGAAAAUUACUUAAAGUUUGCUGGAAUAGUCACAUGACCUAAAAGACUACACUUAUUUCUGUUAAAGAUAGUUAGUUCUGUUAAAGAUAGUUAAAUAGUUAGAUAGUUCUGUAACAGAAUUAGUUUGUGGUUCAAGCUGUGGAAUUCUCAGCUCCAUGGAAUGUCUCUACAUGUUAAUGAGGUUAAUGAGAUGUUUUUGAAAGAGAAGUAGUGGUGCAGUCUGUGUAUAGAAGGAGAAACAAAGGUUUUUUAUUUGUUUAAAGGAAAAGAAUACAUUACUUCAGACUCGUAUUUAUUUCAUACUGAAUAAGACAGAAAGAGAUUUAUUUCUAAUCUCAGGAGAAUAUUGAAUGGUUAUAGCCAGGUGAUGAGGUUUAUAUUAAAGUACUUUAGAUGAGAUAAUGUUGUUAUUGUCUUUACUUUGUGAGGGUUGAAUACAGUGUCCGCAAAGUCAGGAGAGGAUUUCACCUGGUGAUAAAAGAACUGCUGGACAAUGUAAAGGCCGUGUUUGGAUCUCACAUGAUUUGGAGUUUGGUUUUGAAAUGACAAACUAAAUAGAAAAAACUGAUGGAACUUCUGAAGUGUUCUUCUUCAGUCAGUUGUUUAUGUUCUUUUGUUUUUGUAGCUUUUUAAGGUUUCUUCUUCCUUCAUUAUGAACUCAUUCAGAGUUUCCCUGCUGAGCAGAAAGUGAUUUUUUUAUAAACACAAUCCAGUUCAUGAAGAACAGCCCUGUUUCUCAUCUGGUGUAAAAAUAAUAAUAAUAUGAUCCUGGUUUACAUCGUCUUCCAUUUGGUCUGUUCUUCUUAUAGUUCCCGAAAAUAUUGCACUUCUUCUUGGACUUUUUCCUUACCUUAUUAAAAAUUUCUGCAAGCUCUGUCUGCCUUCUUUCUUUAUUUCUUUCUUUCAGCUCUGUGUCUUCUUUUUUGUCUUUUUUCCUGCACAGUUCUGUAGUCACGUUUGUGUUUGCCCAUUUAGCCUCGUCUUCUUACAUAUAGAAAAUUAUUAUUUUUUUAAUAAUUCAUUCUUUCUCCAGAAUAAAUUCUAAACUCAGACCCUGAGACCAUGUCAGAUAAUAAUUCACAAUUUUAUUAUUUUGAUCACGUCAUGAAGAAAGAAAUUGUCUAGAAAAUAAACAAUUUAUACUUUAUUUAUUUAUAGUGGUGAGCACUUAUAUUCACCACUAAUAAUAAUAACAAUAACAACAAUAAUAAUAAUAAUAACAAUAAUAACAAUAAUAAUAAUAAUAUAAUAAUAAUUUUUUCCUGACUUAUCUCAGUGAUAAUAAAGGAAUCGUGAUUAGAUAUUUUAUAGACGGUUAGUUCUUGUGCUCUCGGGCUUCUGGACACAUUUGUCUCAUGGACGCCGAGUUUUAUUCUAAUCUUCUGCCUGCUUGUUGUUCACGUUACACUGCAACAGAGCUCACUCCUUCCUAAAUAUAGCAGCACAUGCGUCUAUCUUUACCACACGCUCUCCUUAUUAAACACAGCUUCUGCUCAGGAACUCGAUAAGGCCCACAGCUGCCAGCUCGCCCGGGCCUGUAUCACAGAGGUCUACAGCCGGAGCCGCUCGAUGUCUCUGCCCCGGAGACACUCCUCCAUGUCCACUGUGUCUCCGGUGUCCAGUCCAGGUUUCCAUCCCAGCCGUGGACUUGUGGACAGGCAGAUGUCCUGGGCCGAAGCUCCCCGGA